This 497-nucleotide ribosomal RNA is filed under the name uncultured bacterium. RNAcentral describes it as "partial 16S ribosomal RNA". It matches the Rfam family "Bacterial small subunit ribosomal RNA", at positions 28 to 507 of the family's 1533-position model. The record is from RNAcentral.
GAUGAACGCUGGCGGCGUGCCUAAUACAUGCAAGUCGAGCGAACGGACGAGAAGCUUGCUUCUCUGAUGUUAGCGGCGGACGGGUGAGUAACACGUGGAUAACCUACCUAUAAGACUGGGAUAACUUUGGGAAACCGGAGCUAAUACCGGAUAAUAUUUUGAACCGCAUGGUUCAAAAGUGAAAGACGGUCUUGCUGUCACUUAUAGAUGGAUCAGCGCUGCAUUAGCUAGUUGGUAAGGUAACGGCUUACCAAGGCAACGAUGCAUAGCCGACCUGAGAGGGUGAUCGGCCACACUGGAACUGAGACACGGUCCAGACUCCUACAGGAGGCAGCAGUAGGGAAUCUUCCGCAAUGGGCGAAAGCCUGACGGAGCAACGCCGCGUGAGUGAUGAAGGUCUUCGGAUCGUAAAACUCUGUUAUUAGGGAAGAACAUAUGUGUAAGUAACUGUGCACAUCUUGACGGUACCUAAUCAGAAAGCCACGGCUAACUACGUG